Molecule: ribosomal RNA, 445 nt
Filed under: uncultured bacterium
Lineage: Bacteria
Description: partial 16S ribosomal RNA
Rfam family: Bacterial small subunit ribosomal RNA
Source: RNAcentral
GUGAGGAAUAUUGGUCAAUGGGCGGGAGCCUGAACCAGCCAAGUCGCGUGAAGGAAGAAGGAUCUAUGGUUCGUAAACUUCUUUUGCAGGGGAAUAAAGUGCAGGACGUGUCCUGUUUUGUAUGUACCCUGAGAAUAAGGAUCGGCUAACUCCGUGCCAGCAGCCGCGGUAAUACGGAGGAUCCGAGCGUUAUCCGGAUUUAUUGGGUUUAAAGGGUGCGUAGGUAGUUUGAUAAGUCAGCGGUGAAAGUUUGCAGCUUAACUGUAAAAAUGCCGUUGAAACUGUCGGACUUGAGUGUAAAUGAGGUAGGCGGAAUGCGUGGUGUAGCGGUGAAAUGCAUAGAUAUCACGCAGAACUCCGAUUGCGAAGGCAGCUUACUAAGCUACAACUGACACUGAAGCACGAAAGCGUGGGGAUCAAACAGGAUUAGAAACCCGGGUAGUCC